RNA transcript from Falco peregrinus (peregrine falcon), 2203 nucleotides. It is a transcript of the gene named TSC22 domain family member 3, with no coding region annotated. The transcript has 2 exons. The record is from RefSeq and is a predicted model, not a curated record. NCBI's taxonomy places the organism in Eukaryota, Metazoa, Chordata, Aves, Falconiformes, Falconidae.
GGGGCCUGGCCGCGGGCAGGGUGGAGGGACACGUGCCAGCCCUGGGGCUGCGGGGGACAGACCCCUGCCCACUCUCUGCAACACCAGUCCCCCUGCUCAGCAGCUUGCCGUGGGCUGGGCUGGUGUUGGCAAGGGGGGAUGUGCAUCAUUCCCCCAGCAGAGAGAGGGACAAACGGGUCCCACACGUGCCCCCCCGGGGAGGAAGCACCCAUCCCUUGCACAACCCCCACACCGGGGAGGAGAAGAUGCUUUUCGCACCCCCCAUCAAACCUGUGUGUCUCAGGGCACCUGCACGUGCCUGGCCACAGUUUAUGGGCCACACAGCAUCUCAGGCUGCUCAGGACACCAUGGCCCUCAUCCCAUCCUGGGAGGUGGGGCUCCGAUUUGCUGGGGAGCAAGCUGGCAGGGCACUGCUUUGAGCAGCAGCCAUGCUGCACUGUGCCUCAGUUUCCCUUUGUGACAGGGAGAUACCGGUCCACCCACCCUCACCCCUUCCCUAAGACAGGGGCACAGCAGCGUGCCCACCGGCUGUGGCUCCUUGGCCUCUCUCCGUGCUGGCACCCACCAGCCUGGUGCUGGGCACCUUCAGCCCCCUGGGUCAGGGGAUCUGGGGUCCUCUGUGGCAUCUCUGGGGUGCAGGUGCUCCUGCCAGCACUAACACAUUCUCGGGUGCUGCACCGUGCUGGGGGCUGUCCCUCAGGGUCUCGUUUAGCAUCAGACCCUGGUUUGGGGAGGACAAGCCCCAUGGAGGCGGCGGCAGUGGGGCGGGGGGGUGCGCGCCUGGGGCUGAGCAAAGUCCUGCCGGUUCCCGGUCCGGAGGGCAGAGAUAAGCCCUGGAGCUGGCGGACGGCCGAGCGCAGGGGAGCGUCACACCUGGGGGGCGAUGCCAGCCCCAGCCCCACCAUGUUGCUAGGGGUGUUUGGGAGGACGGGAACUUGCCUCCCCCCCAUGUGCGGGCCGCUCCGGGGGCGCGGUGGCCGACCUGGUGUGACCCCAGUGCUUGCCCGGGCGUGUGCACCCGCGGGGACGCGGCUCGGCGCACACAGUGUCGGAGCCCGCUGCGCGCCCCCGCAGCGUGGCCCCCCCGCCCGCAGCUCGGGGGGCAGCGGUGGGGCCGGGGCCGGUGGGGGGCCGGGGGCCGCUGCAGUUCCGGCCGGGGCCGCGGGGCGGCGCCCGCCCCCGGCCGGCGGCGGUUACGCAAGGGCGGGGCGUGCCGCCCGCUGGUCUUGGGCUUGUUUUGCACCCUGGGUUUGUUUUGCACGCCAGUUUUGUUUUGCUCUCCCGUUUUCGCUUUGCAGUCCGGUUUUGUUUUGCACUCCGGGUCAUGUUUUGCCUGCCUGUGUUGUUUUUCCACUCCCGUUCCGGGGUUGCACUCCUGGUUUUGCUUUGCACGCCCGUGGCUGCCCGUUUCCCUUCUGCCCCGUCUCUGCAGCCGGGGCGGGCUCUGGUGGUCGUGGGCUUGCAGGCGUGCGUACCCCAAAGGCACAGCGCGUUUUCCCCUUUUCCCAGUCCCUCAAGCGGGGCCCCCGCACAGCUGAACUCCCAUCCCAGUUAUACGUGGGGAGCACAGGAAGGGGGUGCUGAGGCAUGGGGGCCGCGCAGGAAUGUGGGGUUGAGGGGUGGGGUGGCAGGACUCUCGUUGCAGAAGAUGGGUGGGUGUACAGAUGAGAGGUGCAGAGAGGACAGAGUGCUGGAGAGCCUGGGUCCUGCACUGGGAGGGGGCCACGCUGUGCUGGGGUGCAACUGGGAGGCGCAGAAGUGCGGCCGUGGAGCGCCGGGGGGCUGUGCCAGGGUGCCGGGGGCCUGUGCCAGGCUGCGUUACCAGCUGGUAGCGGUGCCGUGCUGGGGAGCAGGCGCAGCACCGGGCCGACACCGGGCGCGGCGCUGUGGGGCGGCGGGCGGGCUCGGGCCCGCUGGCACCGCCCGGCGGGGCGGACGCCGCCGAUAUAAGCGGGGGCGGGGGGGGGGCAGCGCUGCAUUGCGUUCGGUUUUGCUUCGCCUGCGCAUCCAGCUCACCGCGGCUAUAGCCAUGAGCACCGGCAUGUACCAGUCCCCCAUGGAGGUGGCUGUCUACCAGCUCCACAACUUCUCCAUCUCCUUUUUCUCCUCGCUGCUUGGGGGGGACGUGGUCUCCGUGAAGCUCGAUAACAGCGCCUCCGGAGCCAGCGUGGUGGCCAUCGACAACAAGAUCGAGCAGGCAAUG